RNAcentral lists this ribosomal RNA (250 nucleotides) under uncultured bacterium. Its description in RNAcentral is "partial 16S ribosomal RNA". It matches the Rfam family "Bacterial small subunit ribosomal RNA", at positions 523 to 769 of the family's 1533-position model. The record is from RNAcentral.
AUACGGAAGGUGCAAGCGUUAAUCGGAAUCACUGGGCGUAAAGCGCUCGUAGGUGGCUUUGUAAGUCAGGUGUGAAAGCCCACGGCUCAACCGUGGAAUUGCACUUGAUACUGCAUUGCUUGAGUUCGGGAGAGGGUAGUGGAAUUCCAGGUGUAGGAGUGAAAUCCGUAGAGAUCUGGAGGAACACCAGUGGCGAAGGCGUUUACUACCUGGACCGAUACUGACACUGAGGAGCGAAAGCGUGGGGAGC